UACGGAGGGUGCAAGCGUUGUCCGGAUUUAUUGGGUUUAAAGGGUGCGUAGGCGGAUUAUUAAGUCAGUGGUGAAAGUUUGCGGCUCAACCGUAAAAGUGCCAUUGAAACUGGUAGUCUUGAGUACAGUAGAGGUAGGCGGAAUUUAUGGUGUAGCGGUGAAAUGCAUAGAUACCAUAAAGAACACCGAUAGCGAAGGCAGCUUACUAUACUGUAACUGACGCUGAGGCACGAAAGCGUGGGGAGCGAACAGGAUUAGAUACCCCCGUA
This 269-nucleotide ribosomal RNA is filed under the name uncultured prokaryote. RNAcentral's name for it is "partial 16S ribosomal RNA". It matches the Rfam family "Bacterial small subunit ribosomal RNA", at positions 524 to 792 of the family's 1533-position model. The record is from RNAcentral.